UACGUAGGUGGCAAGCGUUAUCCGGAAUUACUGGGCGUAAAGCGCACGCAGGCGGUCUUGUAAGUUUGACGUGAAAGCUCCCGGCUCAACCGGGAAGGGUUAUGCCAGACUGCUAGUCUUGAGUGCGAGAGAGGAGCGUGGAAUUCCGGGUGUAGUGGUGAAAUGCGUAGAGAUCCGGAGGAACCCCAGAGGCGAAGGCGGCGCUCUGGCUCGCAACUGACGCUCAGACACGACAGCAUGGGGAGCGAACGGG
This 253-nucleotide ribosomal RNA is filed under the name uncultured bacterium. RNAcentral describes it as "partial 16S ribosomal RNA". It matches the Rfam family "Bacterial small subunit ribosomal RNA", at positions 524 to 776 of the family's 1533-position model. The record is from RNAcentral.